AAAGGGGAGCAAUCCCUGAGUAAAGUGGCGACCGGGUGAGUAACACGUGACUAACCUACCCUCGAGUGUGGAAUAACAUCGGGAAACCGAUGCUAAUACCGCAUAAUAUCGGCGCUUCUCAAGAAGUGACGAUCAAAGGAGCAAUCCGCUUGAGGAGGGGGUCGCGGCUGAUUAGCUAGUUGGCGGGGUAACGGCCUACCAAGGCGACGACGGGUAGCCGGCCUGAGAGGGCGACCGGCCACACUGGGACUGAGACACGGCCCAGACUCCUACGGGAGGCAGCAGUGGGGAAUAUUGCGCAAUGGGCGAAAGCCUGACGCAGCGACGCCGCGUGGGGGAUGAAGGCCUUCGGG
Molecule: ribosomal RNA, 353 nt
Filed under: uncultured bacterium
Lineage: Bacteria
Description: bacterial SSU rRNA
Rfam family: Bacterial small subunit ribosomal RNA
Source: RNAcentral